Molecule: ribosomal RNA, 451 nt
Filed under: uncultured bacterium
Lineage: Bacteria
Description: partial 16S ribosomal RNA
Rfam family: Bacterial small subunit ribosomal RNA
Source: RNAcentral
AACGAACGCUGGCGGCAGGCUUAACACAUGCAAGUCGAACGGGCGUAGCAAUACGUCAGUGGCAGACGGGUGAGUAACACGUGGGAAUAUCCCUCUCAGUUCGGAAUAACUCAGGGAAACUUGAGCUAAUACCGGAUACGUCCUUCGGGAGAAAGAUUUAUCGCUGAGGGAUUAGCCCGCGUCUGAUUAGCUAGUUGGUGAGGUAAUGGCUCACCAAGGCGACGAUCAGUAGCUGGUCUGAGAGGAUGAUCAGCCACACUGGGGCUGAGACACGGCCCAGACUCCUACGGGAGGCAGCAGUGGGGAAUAUUGGACAAUGGGGGCAACCCUGAUCCAGCCAUGCCGCGUGAGUGAUGAAGGCCUUAGGGUUGUAAAGCUCUUUUGCCAGGGAAGAUAAUGACUGUACCUGGAGAAUAAGCCCCGGCUAACUUCGUGCCAGCAGCCGCAGUAA